Molecule: ribosomal RNA, 455 nt
Filed under: Alistipes finegoldii
Lineage: Bacteria; Pseudomonadati; Bacteroidota; Bacteroidia; Bacteroidales; Rikenellaceae
Description: bacterial SSU rRNA
Rfam family: Bacterial small subunit ribosomal RNA
Source: RNAcentral
AUGCAAGUCGAGGGGCAUCGGGAUUGAAGCUUGCUUCAAUUGCCGGCGACCGGCGCACGGGUGCGUAACGCGUAUGUAACCUACCUAUAACAGGGGCAUAACACUGAGAAAUUGGUACUAAUUCCCCAUAAUAUUCGGAGAGGCAUCUUUCCGGGUUGAAAACUCCGGUGGUUAUAGAUGGACAUGCGUUGUAUUAGCUGGUUGGUGAGGUAACGGCUCACCAAGGCAACGAUACAUAGGGGGACUGAGAGGUUAACCCCCCACACUGGUACUGAGACACGGACCAGACUCCUACGGGAGGCAGCAGUGAGGAAUAUUGGUCAAUGGACGCAAGUCUGAACCAGCCAUGCCGCGUGCAGGAAGACGGCUCUAUGAGUUGUAAACUGCUUUUGUACGAGGGUAAACUCACCUACGUGUAGGUGACUGAAAGUAUCGUACGAAUAAGGAUCGGCUAC